GGAGCCGGCUCGCAGCAGGAGCUGCCCCCCUGGGGGCGCCGGGAUGACCUGGGGGGUCCCGGCGGUGGGACCCCCGGAGGUGGUGCUCAGCCGGACGGAGGCACCAAGUGUCCGACUCUCGCUGCUCCUGCUGACGCCGAGCCCAGGCUGCCCACUUCCCACUCCAUCUGCUCAUCGGCAACAGUGGCCAAGGGCCACCUCUGGAACCACCGGGAGAAGUCACUUUCCUGAGGAGGAUGUAGCAAAAACAGCGUGAGACAGCCAUUCACCGGCCAGUUCACCAAUACUUAUUUGCCUGGUGACUGGCACCAGGAAGGAGGAGUACAGGGUGAGCUCAGCCAAUGGGGAUCUGAUCUGAAAGGGCUUCAUGGACUCUGAAUGGAGGUUUGAAGGCCACGUGUAGCAGGCCGGGUCAGGGAAGAGCGUUCCCAGCACAGGGAACGGAGCGGCUGUGAGGCCCAGCACAGAAGGCGCCAGGGAGAGGGCACGAGGUGGACAGGAAUGGGCAGGGUGGCGGCAGGGUCAGCCCCGAGGGCCUCUCUGUGGAGGCAAGAGUGAGAUUUGGGGGUUUCUUGGCGAGCAGCAGGGAGCUGGCGGAGUUUCCACCUGAGCACAGGUGCGCUGCAGAGGCCUCUCGGCUGCACCUGGGAAUCCGAGGAAGACGUGUGCCCGAGCCCAGCUGGCUGUGGUCAGCCAGGCAGGAGAGGGCCGGAACGGGGGAAGUGACAGCAGACAGAGGAGGAGGAAUUCGAAGUACAUGUUGGAGGUAAAAUGCUCAGUGCCUGACUGGGUGGAGCAGGGGGUGGGACGAGACAGACACAUUAGGGAGAUUCCCGGCUCUCGGGCAGUCCUGCCGGUGGGUUAGUGGUUCUCAUUUAACUGCACUAAAAACAAAUAUUUGAGGCUCAGAGACAUGAAAUUACUUGCCCAAGAUCACACAGCACAUGAGCAGCUUGGUGGGUGGAAACUCAGGUCCUGCCUGUGCCUGAAACAUGCCAUCUCCAGAGUCCCCUCCUCCUCCCUCCGGGCAAGUUCAGAGAGGCCUGGGGACUUCAGGUUCCCGCUCAAACGAGCUGCCUGAGGGUUCCAGCCCAGACCCUGGGUCAGACAGCAGGUCAGAGAGACCUGGAGGGAGGUGCCCCGAAGGACGCUGACGCCCAGGAACAUGUGGCUGUGUGUGUGUGCUCCUGUGUCACCUGGGGCAGUGCCUUGGACCUGCAGGGACCUGGGGCCAGGGCUGGAGGUGAGUUCUGGCUCUGUGACUUCUGAACUCUGUCUCAGACCCCUCUCCUCCCUUGUGUGGUGGUGUCUCUGAGCCCUCCCUGGGCUGCCUGCGGGGUGGACACGGCUGGGUCCUGCGCAGAGGCCUGCAUGGGAUAGAGCGAUGGCCACGCCCUUGGGCCGCCUGGGUGUGAGUGGCUCGAGCCCAGUGGGUCUUCCUGCUGGAGAUUCUGAGAUGGAAACUCCCAGGUGUGGGCAAGUGCCCCAGGGCUGGCGGAGGUGGGGGCCAGCCCCUGCCCCUGCCCCUUCCCCGCCGGGCUCCUUGAACCUUGGAUGUCAGCCCUCCCCGCCCAGCAAGCUCGCCCCCUCCAGGAAGCGGCCUCUGCUCACCCAUCUGCGGGCCGCCUCCCCUCUUCCAGGCCGGGUUCCCAGCAGACCCGGGUCCCACAUGGCUGCCUUCUUGCUGAUGGAGCCUUCCGGAAUGGUCCCUCAGCCCCCAGAGAGCGAGACCGGGUGGGGCUUCCCCAGCAGCCGGGGACCUGGUGUUCCUCAGCCUCACUGUCAGCUGUUAACUCAGGAUCCAGAGGAGAUAAGGCCACCUCCCAGAGCUUGUCCGACUGGAAGGGACCGUGCAUGGGAAGUCCAAGGCAGUGUGCGUCCGCUUCCUGCUGGGGGUCGCUGGGCUGUGCCGGCUCCUGCUUGACCCCGCCCCCCCAAGGCCUCUGGCUACUUGGAGCUGGGCAGGAGGCCCGUGGCCUCAGAGGAGCUCAGGUAAGGCCUGAGAGUGAAUGUGCUCCCACUCCUGGUGUCCCCUCAGACCCUGGCCCAGGACGGAGUGGCAGGCCGGGGACCAGGCUGGGAGCAGGGAUUUGGGGGUCUGAUACACCCGACUUGAAGUCCUGCCUCGGACUUACCCCCGCUGUGAUGCUUCAAGUCACCUGCCUUGGCCUCCUUCCUUAUCUGCAAAAGAGGAUCAGUGGGCUGCCCCCCAGGGUGUGGUGACAAUCACGAAAUCCCCUGACACGGGCAUCUGAGAUGCCCACUGAAGACGACAAUAGGAGUCGCAGUUGCAAUGAGUGAUGAGCCUCAAGUUCGACUCCCCACAGCAGUGGGCCCGCUCCCUCCCAGGUAGACUUGAAUUUGGUUGGGGAUCCAGGGAGUUCCAAGGCUGACUCUGCCAGGUGAGGGCGCGACUAAGUCAAUAAGUACAUUUCAACCUUUGGUCUUAGGGAUUGGUUUAGGGUUGGGGACAUGACCCACAUGACCCAGAUCUGUCAUUCAGCAGGAAGUUCAAGAUUUUCCUGGGAAUUCUAGAGCAAAGAUGCUUCUCUAAGGAGGCCCUCUUGGUCUUGGGAUCUCCUGGCCAGAAACUUGGAACUGUAAGGAGAUCCAGUCUUAAAAAAGGCCAGUCAAGUGAGAGAGCAAGAAAUGGGCCCUUGCUAUUACUGUUAAACUGCUGGAUCAAGCCUUUCCUGAAGGACUUUUCAAUAACAUGUGCCAAUAAAUCACUUUACUGCUUAA
Molecule: long non-coding RNA, 2742 nt
Organism: Marmota flaviventris (yellow-bellied marmot)
Lineage: Eukaryota; Metazoa; Chordata; Mammalia; Rodentia; Sciuridae
Source: RefSeq, a predicted model, not a curated record